CUCUCUUUGUAUAAAGUUAUUUAAAGAGUCGGACCUGCCCGGUGACUAAAAGUUAAACGGCCGCGGUACCCUGACCGUGCAAAGGUAGCAUAAUCAUUUGCCUUUUAAUUGGAGGCUGGUAUGAAUGGUUUGACGAGAGCUAAGCUGUCUCUUUCAGAAUAAAUAGAAUUUAACUUUUAGGUGAAGAGGCCUAAAUUUAUUUGAGGGACAAGAAGACCCUAUUGAGCUUUAGUGGUGUUGUAAAUUAAGUAUAUAAUAAGUGAAUUUGUUAAUAAAUCUCACUUAAGUUAAAAGUAAAUAUGGUUUUAUAAUUUAUCUUUACAAAAAAUCUUUAGUUGGGGCGACUGAGGAACAAAAAAAGCUUCCUUAAAUAAGUUAAGAAUUAUGAAUAUUAAAAGAUUUAUAUUAUUUUUACUAAAUAGAGUUGAUCCAAAAAUUUUGAUCAAUGGAAAAAGUUACCAUAGGGAUAACAGCGUAAUCUUUCUGGAGAGAUCAAAUCGAAAGGAGGGUUUGCGACCUCGAUGUUGGACUAAGAUAUCCGGAGGGUGUAGAAGUUCUCAAUGGUUGGUCUGUUCGACCAUUAAAAUCUU
RNAcentral lists this ribosomal RNA (590 nucleotides) under Stomatella planulata. RNAcentral describes it as "partial 16S rRNA". It matches the Rfam family "Bacterial large subunit ribosomal RNA", at positions 1817 to 2597 of the family's 2925-position model. Lineage: Eukaryota; Metazoa; Mollusca; Gastropoda; Trochida; Trochidae. The record is from RNAcentral.